GCCGAGUACGGGCCAUGAGGCGGGGUAAUUCUUAUGAUGGGGACGUUGUCGGGAUUGUUGUGGCGUAAAGGGCGCGUGGGCGGGUGGUUGCUGCGUGAGUGAAAGCCACUGGCGUGACUGGUUGCUUGCUUUCGAUACGGGCAGACGGGAGGUAUUGAUGUGAGAACGGAAUUCCUGGUGUAGCUGUGAAAUGCGCAGAUAGCAGGAGGAACACCGGUGGCGAAGGCGGUUCUCUGGGCAUGUCCUGACGCGGAGGAGCGAAAGUGUGGGGAGCGAACAGGAUUAGAUACCCUAGUAGUC
Molecule: ribosomal RNA, 300 nt
Filed under: uncultured bacterium
Lineage: Bacteria
Description: bacterial SSU rRNA
Rfam family: Bacterial small subunit ribosomal RNA
Source: RNAcentral